RNAcentral lists this long non-coding RNA (761 nucleotides) under Chinchilla lanigera (long-tailed chinchilla). RNAcentral describes it as "lncRNA (ENSCLAG00000027571.1)". The record is from RNAcentral. Lineage: Eukaryota; Metazoa; Chordata; Mammalia; Rodentia; Chinchillidae.
UUUGGAAAGAGAGAAGGUAUAAAAGGAAAGCCUUUUACAAAUGAGAAAUAAUUUUAUUUGUUCCUUAAGAGUGGACUCAGAAGAGACCUCCACUUUGAGACCCUAGGAGCUGCAGAUUAUGUGUUUUGCUACGGAGGAGCAGCCAAGAGACAUGCGCAUCUGAGGAUCGCUCUGCAAGACUGUACCAGCGCGCUUGACGGUCCUUCGUGUUCUCAUGCAGAGAGGGUCUCAGCGAGUGGAGGUCCAUGGCGGGCACUUACUUUCCACAGGGAUGGAAUGCAAGCCCAUGUUUUGCAAGUUUGAAGUAGGACAAUUCUUGGUAUCUUUAAGCAAGCCACAGUGGGAGGAGACUAUUUUGGAGAACAGCAUCUGUUGGGGUCUGGUCCUCUGUGAGCGGAAGCUUCCAUUAAACAGGACAACUGGCAGCUCUUAUGCAUCUUCCACAUAUUUCUAAUUCUCAGUGAAUAAAUGAAUAUUACUUGCUUCUUUUUUUGUGGCAUUCCUCUCAUGUUAAUUCUUUAAGUGAUGUUUUAUUUAAUAGACCAUUUUCUUAUGAACUGUGUACCCAGCAUAUAUUAACUAAAAUCACCCUUUAUAUUUCAGGUAAUGAUGAUCUCUUUCAGAAACUCAAGACAAGCGUAGUACAUUGAAAGGAAUCAUUGGAGCGUAGGAACCUCCUGGUUAGCUGGCCUCCCAUUUCUUCCAAUCACAGCUCUAACUCUGUGGUUUAAUAAGAUGCAAAGAUACUGCGUACGGUUAGA